This 136-nucleotide non-coding RNA is filed under the name Microcebus murinus (gray mouse lemur). RNAcentral's name for it is "Small Cajal body specific RNA 16 (ENSMICG00000025298.3)". It matches the Rfam family "Small Cajal body specific RNA 16", at positions 49 to 187 of the family's 187-position model. From Rfam's summary of the family: scaRNAs are a specific class of small nuclear RNAs which localise to the Cajal bodies and guide the modification of RNA polymerase II transcribed spliceosomal RNAs U1, U2, U4, U5 and U12. Lineage: Eukaryota; Metazoa; Chordata; Mammalia; Primates; Cheirogaleidae. The record is from Rfam by way of RNAcentral.
AUUGUUGCGGGACCAGGCAGCCUGACCCUGACCUAAAGUAAAUUCCCAGAAGUCUUUCCUGGGUUUUGCAUUUGCAAUAACAGGUGUGAGCAUUUUAGCAGCAGUUUGAUGAUCAUGUAUGAUACCGCAAACAGGA